AUGAAGUGCAUGAGUUGGAACUGUCGUGGGCUUGGGAACCCAUCGACAGUUCGAGAGCUUUGCAAGAUUGUAAAGCAAGAAGGUCCCUCCCUGCUCUUUGUGAUGGAAACGAAGAUCAGCGGAAAACGAGUGGAAAAAUUGAAGAAUGUGUUGGGUUUCAGUGGUUGUUUUGUUGUCGAUAGCAGCGGCUUAAGUGGCGGUGUUGGUUUGUUCUGGACUAAUGAUGUUGAAGUUGAUCUGAAGAACUAUAGCCGAGCACAUAUAGAUGUGCAAGUCAGA
Molecule: ribosomal RNA, 279 nt
Filed under: Triticum aestivum (bread wheat)
Lineage: Eukaryota; Viridiplantae; Streptophyta; Magnoliopsida; Poales; Poaceae
Description: partial small subunit ribosomal RNA
Source: RNAcentral